AUACGUAGGGGGCGAGCGUUGUCCGGAAUGAUUGGGCGUAAAGGGCGCGUAGGCGGCCUGUUAAGUCUGGAGUGAAAGUCCUGUUUUCAAGAUGGGAAUUGCUUUGGAUACUGUCGGGCUUGAGUGCAGGAGAGGUAAGUGGAAUUCCCAGUGUAGCGGUGAAAUGCGUCGAGAUUGGGAGGAACACCAGUGGCGAAGGCGACUUACUGGACUGUAACUGACGCUGAGGCGCGAAAGUGUGGGGAGCAAACAGGAUUAGAUACCCUGGUAGUCCACACUGUAAACGAUGAAUGCUAGGUGUAGGGGGUAUCGACCCCUUCUGUGCCGCAGUCAACACAAUAAGCAUUCCGCCUGGGGAGUACGGCCGCAAGGUUGAAACUCAAAGGAAUUGACGGGG
RNAcentral lists this ribosomal RNA (397 nucleotides) under uncultured bacterium. RNAcentral's name for it is "partial 16S ribosomal RNA". It matches the Rfam family "Bacterial small subunit ribosomal RNA", at positions 523 to 918 of the family's 1533-position model. The record is from RNAcentral.